RNAcentral lists this transfer RNA (86 nucleotides) under Asterionella formosa. RNAcentral describes it as "tRNA-Leu". It matches the Rfam family "tRNA". From Rfam's summary of the family: Transfer RNA (tRNA) molecules are approximately 80 nucleotides in length. Their secondary structure includes four short double-helical elements and three loops (D, anti-codon, and T loops). The record is from RNAcentral. Lineage: Eukaryota; Bacillariophyta; Fragilariophyceae; Tabellariales; Tabellariaceae.
GGGAAUGUGGUGGAAUCGGUAGACACGACGGACUUAAAAUCCGUUGCUUAGUGAUAGGCUUGAGGGUUCAAGUCCCUCCGUUCUCA